CAUGCAAGUCGAACGGAAAGGCCCUUUCGGGGGUACACGAGUGGCGAACGGGUGAGUAACACGUGGGUGAUCUGCCCUGCACUUUGGGAUAAGCCUGGGAAACUGGGUCUAAUACCGGAUAGGACUCUUGGCUGCAUGGCUGGGAGUGGAAAGCUUUUGCGGUGUGGGAUGGGCCCGCGGCCUAUCAGCUUGUUGGUGGGGUGAUGGCCUGCCAAGGCGACGACGGGUAGCCGGCCUGAGAGGGUGUCCGGCCACACUGGGACUGAGAUACGGCCCAGACUCCUACGGGAGGCAACAGUGGGGAAUAUUGCACAAUGGGCGCAAGCCUGAUGCAGCGACGCCGCGUGGGGGAUGACGGCCUUCGGGUUGUAAACCUCUUUCAGCUCCGACGAAGCGCAAGUGACGGUAGGAGCAGAAGAAGCACCGGCCAACUACGUGCCAGCAGCCGCGGUAAUACGUAGGGUGCGAGCGUUGUCCGGAAUUACUGGGCGUAAAGAGCUCGUAGGUGGUUUGUCGCGUUGUUCGUGAAAACUCACA
RNAcentral lists this ribosomal RNA (537 nucleotides) under uncultured Mycobacterium sp. Its description in RNAcentral is "bacterial SSU rRNA". It matches the Rfam family "Bacterial small subunit ribosomal RNA", at positions 54 to 606 of the family's 1533-position model. Lineage: Bacteria; Bacillati; Actinomycetota; Actinomycetes; Mycobacteriales; Mycobacteriaceae. The record is from RNAcentral.